GCGCCCGUAGCUCAGUCGGAUAGAGCAACGGCCUUCUAAGCCGUGGGUCGCAGGUUCGAAUCCUGCCGGGCGUGCCA
RNAcentral lists this transfer RNA (77 nucleotides) under Marichromatium gracile. Its description in RNAcentral is "tRNA-Arg". It matches the Rfam family "tRNA". Rfam says of the family: Transfer RNA (tRNA) molecules are approximately 80 nucleotides in length. Their secondary structure includes four short double-helical elements and three loops (D, anti-codon, and T loops). Lineage: Bacteria; Pseudomonadati; Pseudomonadota; Gammaproteobacteria; Chromatiales; Chromatiaceae. The record is from RNAcentral. RNAcentral also lists the same sequence under 7 other names.